Long non-coding RNA from Mustela lutreola (European mink), 1820 nucleotides. RefSeq lists it as uncharacterized. The transcript is spliced from 4 exons. The record is from RefSeq and is a predicted model, not a curated record. NCBI's taxonomy places the organism in Eukaryota, Metazoa, Chordata, Mammalia, Carnivora, Mustelidae.
GAGGGGGCUGCUACUGUUGUUCACUCUCCGCAGACAGGGAAACUGAAGCCUAGGGAUUUAAGCGAACCUUCCAAGGUUGCUGAAAGAGUUGAGGUCAAACCAAGAUGGGACCUGACUUGCUCUCCAAGGUACACCCUGUUUGCGUCCUCCAAGAUACGCCCUGCUUAUGUGACGCUUACUUAAGAAAAGCAUAAAGAGGACCCACGUUAUCGUUCGUGACACGAGACUUCCUGGAUGGCACGAACCCACCCAGUUACACAUCUGAGCUUUGGAGAACUAAGGGCAUUGCCGGAGAGAAGAUGCAGGACUGGCUUCACCGGGAACGGCGCCAGGGAUACUGGAAGGCGGAGAAACCAGCUGCGGUGCCAGGUCUCCUGAGACCGAAGAGCUUUAUCCUCCAGGAGACCCCCCACUGCUGAGAAGAUGACCAGAAAGAAGGGAAGGUCUCUGAAUGUGUCCACUGGUGAGGCUGAACCCAUCAAGGAGACUCUGAGUCAGACUCUGAGGAGACUCUGAGACUCCUCUGUCCGUGCUAUGGGUCAGAUCGCGUGCUCCAAGUUCAUAUGUUGACAACCUGGCCCACCAGCAGCUCCAAGUAUGACCAUAUUUAGAAAUAGGGUCAUCACAGACCCAGUAAGAUCAGAGUCAUCAUAAAGAGGGGGUUGGGGAUGACACACGGGGAGAACUUGGUGGCACGAGGAUGGUGGGGAGUGGGUGAUGCGUAUGCCCAGGGAGCUCCGAAGACCUUCUGAGCAUCUGGGAGACGGCAAGUACCCCAGUCACAGCACCGGAAGGAGCCAGUCCUGUCCACACCUGGAUCCUGGACUUCUGGCCUCGAGACGGUGCGACACUGGUUUCUGCUGUUUGCACCUUCCGGCGUGGGGUUCUUUUCUGCGGCAGCCCUGAAGAAUACGGCAGGGUGGUGGGUGUUCAGUCUUUCGCCGGCUUCGAGAACAGCACCAGUGGGUUCCGUUGUCUGCUUUCUGGGUCCGCACUGCUCGCCCCCGUUCAGCGGCCUGCACGUUCUGUUGGACUCGCACGGUUCUGCCGCCCCGGCUAACUGCAUGCCCCGAGUUUCUGGUUCCUCACGUCACUGCCGGUGUCUUGAGCGGCUGCACAGGUGUUAACUCCUCUCCAGGUGGCUUUUGACCAGUUGGAAACAGAAGACGUCGGGACAGCCUCUGUGAGGAGGGGUUCCGUGACCUCGCUUUACAGACACUCGGCCUCCUGGUUACUCCUGUCUUUCCCCAGUGGAGAAGGUGACGAAUGCCCGGAGCUAGAGGGCCGUGACUGGGCUUGUUGGUCCUCCACACAUUCACAGCACCCCUGCUCCUGAGCUGCGUAGUAACGUUCGCCCACGGGGCUUGGUUUCUACAAGAUGAGACCCGAGAGUCAGCGAAGACAAAUGAAGCCUUUUGUAAGACCUGUCCUCGCAUUAAAAAGUAAGAGGGUAUUACCCUUUCAAAAAGCAAGAUUUGAAAAGCAGGAUUUGAAAACCAGUGAAAGGCCUGGACAAACCUCACUCCACCCGAAACUUGUUUACGCCCGAAAGUGUUAUCAACCGGCUACUUCUGCUUCUGUAAAAGUGCUUGCUCAACGGUGGGCUAACUAGCUACUUUCGCUUCUGUUCGAAUGCUUGCUUGAUGCCCUUGCAGGCUCCCAACACCAAUCAACCAACACCAGGUAUGAUUUUUUAAACUUGUUUGUACUCCUCCCAAAACUUGUCUGUACCUGCUUAUAAAAACCCUGCAUUUACUCUGCUUGGGACCUCUCAGCAUCACCGGCAACAAGUGCACGUUGGUCCGGGUUCGAACUCGUAA